UAUUAUUUAAAAUAUAAAUAAAAAUCUUAAGUAGUAGUAGUUAUGUUCUUGAAACUUAAAAAAUUUGGCGGUAUUUUAGUCUAUCCAGAGGAACCUGUUUUGUAAUCGAUAAUCCACGAUGGACCUUACUUAAAUUUGUAUUCAGUUUAUAUACCGUCGUUAUCAGAAUAUUUUAUAAGAAUAAAAAUAUUCAAUAAUUUAUAUUAAAAUUUAUAUCAGAUCAAGGUGUAGCUUAUAUUUAAGUUUUAAUGGGUUACAAUAAAUUUAUUUAAAUGAAUAAAAUUAUGAAAAAGUUUUUGAAGGUGGAUUUGGUAGUAAAAUUAUAAAGAUUAAUAAUUUGAUUUUAGCUCUAAAAUAUGUACACAUCGCCCGUCGCUCUUAUUAUUAAGGUAAGAUAAGUCGUAACAUAGUAGAUGUACUGGAAAGUGUAUCUAGAAUGA
Molecule: ribosomal RNA, 440 nt
Filed under: Drosophila mediostriata
Lineage: Eukaryota; Metazoa; Arthropoda; Insecta; Diptera; Drosophilidae
Description: partial 12S ribosomal RNA
Source: RNAcentral